Molecule: non-coding RNA, 26 nt
Filed under: Rattus norvegicus (Norway rat)
Lineage: Eukaryota; Metazoa; Chordata; Mammalia; Rodentia; Muridae
Source: RNAcentral
UUGAAGGCAGAUCUCAGACAAGGUUC